This 464-nucleotide ribosomal RNA is filed under the name Vreelandella stevensii. RNAcentral's name for it is "partial 16S ribosomal RNA". It matches the Rfam family "Bacterial small subunit ribosomal RNA", at positions 338 to 794 of the family's 1533-position model. Lineage: Bacteria; Pseudomonadati; Pseudomonadota; Gammaproteobacteria; Oceanospirillales; Halomonadaceae. The record is from RNAcentral.
CCUACGGGGGGCUGCAGUGGGGAAUAUUGGACAAUGGGCGAAAGCCUGAUCCAGCCAUGCCGCGUGUGUGAAGAAGGCCUUCGGGUUGUAAAGCACUUUCAGUGGGGAAGAAAGCCUUGGGGCUAAUACCCUCGAGGAAGGACAUCACCCACAGAAGAAGCACCGGCUAACUCCGUGCCAGCAGCCGCGGUAAUAUGGAGGGUGCGAGCGUUAAUCGGAAUUACUGGGCGUAAAGCGCGCGUAGGCGGUCUGAUAAGCCGGUUGUGAAAGCCCCGGGCUCAACCUGGGAACGGCAUCCGGAACUGUCAGGCUAGAGUGCAGGAGAGGAAGGUAGAAUUCCCGGUGUAGCGGUGAAAUGCGUAGAGAUCGGGAGGAAUACCAGUGGCGAAGGCGGCCUUCUGGACUGACACUGACGCUGAGGUGCGAAAGCGUGGGUAGCAAACAGGAUUAGAUACCCGGGUAGC